This 876-nucleotide ribosomal RNA is filed under the name Bacillus pumilus. RNAcentral describes it as "bacterial SSU rRNA". It matches the Rfam family "Bacterial small subunit ribosomal RNA", at positions 1 to 874 of the family's 1533-position model. Lineage: Bacteria; Bacillati; Bacillota; Bacilli; Caryophanales; Bacillaceae. The record is from RNAcentral.
UAUGUUUUGAUUCAUGGCUCAGGACGAACGCUGGCGGCGGCCUAAACAUGCAAGUCGAGCGAACAGAAGGGAGCUUGCUCCGGAUGUUAGCGGCGGACGGGUGAGUAACACGUGGGAACCUGCCUGUAAGACUGGGAUAACUCCGGGAAACCGGAGCUAAUACCGGAUAGUUCCUUGAACCGCAUGGUAAAUGAAAGACGGUUUCGGCUGUCACUUACAGAUGGACCCGCGGCGCAUUAGCUAGUUGGUGGGGUAAUGGCUCACCAAGGCGACGAUGCGUAGCCGACCUGAGAGGGUGAUCGGCCACACUGGGACUGAGACACGGCCCAGACUCCUACGGGAGGCAGCAGUAGGGAAUCUUCCGCAAUGGACGAAAGUCUGACGGAGCAACGCCGCGUGAGUGAUGAAGGUUUUCGGAUCGUAAAGCUCUGUUGUUAGGGAAGAACAAGUGCGAGAGUAACUGCUCGCACCUUGACGGUACCUAACCAGAAAGCCACGGCUAACUACGUGCCAGCAGCCGCGGUAAUACGUAGGUGGCAAGCGUUGUCCGGAAUUAUUGGGCGUAAAGGGCUCGCAGGCGGUUUUUAAGUCUGAUGUGAAAGCCCCCGGCUCAACCGGGGAGGGUCAUUGGAAACUGGGAAACUUGAGUGCAGAAGAGGAGAGUGGAAUUCCACGUGUAGCGGUGAAAUGCGUAGAGAUGUGGAGGAACACCAGUGGCGAAGGCGACUCUCUGGUCUGUAACUGACGCUGAGGAGCGAAAGCGUGGGGAGCGAACAGGAUUAGAUACCCUGGUAGUCCACGCCGUAAACGAGGUGCUAAGUGUUAGGGGGUUUCCGCCCCUUAGUGCUGCAGCUAACGGCAUUAAGCAUCCCGCCG